Long non-coding RNA from Rhinichthys klamathensis goyatoka, 127 nucleotides. RefSeq lists it as uncharacterized. Lineage: Eukaryota; Metazoa; Chordata; Actinopteri; Cypriniformes; Leuciscidae. The record is from RefSeq and is a predicted model, not a curated record. The transcript is spliced from 3 exons.
GCUGCCAGUGAGAAGAUGCCCAUUGUGGGUCCAUGUGCUGGUGCUGAUUACCUGUGGUAACGGUGAUGCAAGUGCAGUGCUCUGAAGCUUUUGACCAGUCGGUGGAAGUUCAAGUGUUUACAUGGGU